CCCACCCCUUGCUCCAGCGACCACCCCCUCCCCUGCCUUCUUCACACAGCCGGCUGCGGCACCGCCGCCCGGACGCUACGGAGGAACCGUACGACGAUGGAAAGGCAGCAGCCCAGGCUGGAAGUGGCGCUCAAGAUGGAGGAUCUCCUCCACAGCUUCAUUUCAUCGGGAUUUGCUGGCCGGCCGGACGCCUCGGCUUGCUGGACGACGACGAGCUCGACGAGGGAUGGGGAGGCGGGAGGACAUGAAUCAGCACGAGCUCAAGAGGGAAGCAGAUCAUGGCGGCUAGGGUUUCCACAUCAGGUCAAUGGCCUUAGGGUCGGCCAGAUCUGGUCGGGUGAGAAGGCAAGGACACCCUCUGCCUACUCCCUUGCAUCGUCCUUGAGGCCCAACACAUCAUUGCACUUUGCUGGGAUUCCGCCCCCAGAGAAGUGAAGAUGAAGUGGUAGAUCUAUGGGUGAAUCCCGAAAUACAUAUAUCUGGGGCGUAGCUACCGCAGGCUGCUGCUACGUUACUUUAUUCCUCAGGUUGGUUCAUGCGUUUGUCUAUACAAUCCAAAUUCAGAUGCACCACAGGCAGAUCAACAUCCUCUAGCCACAAAUGUUCGUUUUACCAUCAGAGUGAGAAAUUAAUCAAGUAUCAAGCAAAUAAGACGACAUUGGUCUGUCCCUAAUGCCUUCUUUCAUGCCCUGGCGAGUUCAGAUGUUCUACUUCUCAUAGCUGCUUAUGAGCCAUAUUUACAGAUGUAAUGAUUAUGCAAUUAUAUUUUGUCUUGCCACUUUUCAUUUUUAUUCUAGGUCAUUUGUCCAUGCUCCAGAAAGUUUCGAUCAAAUUUCAUUGUGCAUGAACCAAGAUCUACAGAUGUAAACCAGUAUCUCAUUACAUUUUCAGAAAAGUAACCAAUAUUCCUGACAUGUCUGGUUGCUUGCAGGGGAGCCGUGUUGUUCGUGUUCUCCUCCACAUGUUUGGUCUGCUUAUGUGUGUUUCUUGUAUUAUCACUUACACAGUUUGAUGUAGGCUAUUGCUGGCUUGCUGCAACUGUUUCUCUGGCAUGUAGUCCCCUGCCUCCCCCUUGCACCACGUGUGUCAUAAAAGCAAGAAGUUGAUUACUUAGUAUGAAGUUCAAGAUAAUCUUGGUGUGAUCAUGAAACCGAGAAGUUGAUUCAAUGCAGAUAUGGUGGUCGUAGAUGGACAAGCCUGGUGGAGUGCCAGUGAGAAGCAACGUCUUAGAAUUAAACGUUUGAGCAGCAUGUGGUUACUCAGAGCAGAGCAAUAUGUUAUGUGGUGGUCGUAGAUGGAUAAGACUGGUGGAGUGCCAGUGAGAAGCAACAUCUUAGAAAUAAACAUUUGAGCAGCAUGUGGUUACUCAGAGCAGAGCAAUAUGUUAUGGUUGAUCAAAACAGUUUUCUUACUACCUGAAGUUCCAACCAUAGGUUGCAAGGAAGAUUGAGGGAACUGGAAGAGGAGUCAACGGCUGAACCCAAAUCUGCAAUAAUCAUAUAUACUCUCCACCAGUGCAGGAGCCUGUCAUUUGGUCUCAAUAUCAUCACUGGCUCAAGAAUUUGCUCUCUGAAAGCGGCAAUGUCAACGCGAAUUUUGCUAUGUUGAUGUAGUGGUCAGAGGACCGGAUUCAGUGCUACAUAUCCCGGGUUCACCUCUUUAUAGAGUGCAACAUCCCCGGAAUGCAGCUGAGGUGUUUCUCACUAAUUUCCCAAGAGGUGUAAUUUAUGGAUGUGGUGACUUGAUUUUCUGGUCGCACGUGAUCUUUACUCCGGUCUUUAUCAUGAUUUACCAGAAAUGGGAGUAUAAGGUUUAUAAAGGUGUCCGCACACUUACUUAAGAGUGAAUUCCCAAUUCAGUGUAGCAUGUGUUUUGAAUUUCACUAAUAUUGGCGGGGGACGAGUCACCCGCCUCCAUGAUUUGGAGAAAUUGGUCAUGCUAUGGUCUCUGCCUCCACGCCUCUAGCGCCUAUAAAUUGGUCAUGUACAUUGACGUGGAUAUUUGUUUGUUUGGCAAGUGCAGACUUUGAUGUGGUCAUGCUAUGGACUCUGCCUCUACAUCGACCCUGACAAGCAAAAUAUCAUGGAAGCAAUGUACAAUGCAUUUCUCAAUGGACAAUUUGUGUCCUUUACUUCUUGGGAUGGAGCUCUUUAAAUUCAAUAUCAAAUAUAAUUGGGGCCCAGGAAAGUUGAGUGCUUCAUGGCGGAAAUAUUAAAGACCCGUUGCAUAUAGUAUACAGUAACUAUAAUUUAGGAAAAUCUCUCCCAAGCUAUAUUCCUCGAGUUGGCAUAAUAUAAUAAACUUAGAUUUUGUUCAAUGUGUUACUUUUCAGUUACCCCAAACCAUGAAUGCUGCAACAAGAUUAUGUAGAUGUUGCUUUUGCUACUCCUUCCUUACUUCUAAUGCUCCAGAUAAAAAUGGAGUGUUAGUUAUUGUAAUAUAUAUUUCUCUGUUUCCAUGAUUGUUUAUAAGAAUGUGAUGCUUCGUUUA
Non-coding RNA from Lolium perenne, 2490 nucleotides. Lineage: Eukaryota; Viridiplantae; Streptophyta; Magnoliopsida; Poales; Poaceae. The record is from RefSeq and is a predicted model, not a curated record.